CCUACGGGUGGCAGCAGUGGGGAAUAUUGGACAAUGGGCGAAAGCCUGAUCCAGCCAUGCCGCGUGUGUGAAGAAGGCCUUCGGGUUGUAAAGCACUUUCAGUGGGGAAGAAAGCCUUGGGGCUAAUACCCUCGAGGAAGGACAUCACCCACAGAAGAAGCACCGGCUAACUCCGUGCCAGCAGCCGCGGUAAUACGGAGGGUGCGAGCGUUAAUCGGAAUUACUGGGCGUAAAGCGCGCGUAGGCGGUCUGAUAAGCCGGUUGUGAAAGCCCCGGGCUCAACCUGGGAACGGCAUCCGGAACUGUCAGCCUAGAGUGCAGGAGAGGAAGGUAGAAUUCCCGGUGUAGCGGUGAAAUGCGUAGAGAUCGGGAGGAAUACCAGUGGCGAAGGCGGCCUUCUGGACUGACACUGACGCUGAGGUGCGAAAGCGUGGGUAGCAAACAGGAUUAGAUACCCUGGUAGUC
RNAcentral lists this ribosomal RNA (465 nucleotides) under Vreelandella stevensii. Its description in RNAcentral is "partial 16S ribosomal RNA". It matches the Rfam family "Bacterial small subunit ribosomal RNA", at positions 338 to 795 of the family's 1533-position model. The record is from RNAcentral. Lineage: Bacteria; Pseudomonadati; Pseudomonadota; Gammaproteobacteria; Oceanospirillales; Halomonadaceae.